Molecule: non-coding RNA, 122 nt
Filed under: Palpitomonas bilix
Lineage: Eukaryota
Source: RNAcentral
AAAAAAGAAGAAACAUAAACGGUGUGUUCAUUUGGAUAUUUGGAUGGCCCACUUUUGCUCUUUUUUAUUUUUUUUGCACUACAUUUCUUUCAAGCAUGAUAUCAUGAUUGUGAUUUUCACAA